Molecule: ribosomal RNA, 732 nt
Filed under: Pristimantis aff. subsigillatus JC-2021
Lineage: Eukaryota; Metazoa; Chordata; Amphibia; Anura; Strabomantidae
Description: partial 12S ribosomal RNA
Source: RNAcentral
GGAGCUGAUAUCAGGCACAAGUUGCCCANNACAUCUAGCCACACCACACCCAUAAGGGCCCUCAGCAGUGAUUAACAUUAAGAAUAAACGUAAGUUUGANUUAGUCAGAGAAAACAGAGCCGGCCAAUCUGGUGCCAGCCGCCGCGGUUACACCAUGUGGCUCAAAUUGAUUUUAACACGGCGUAAAGCGUGAUUAAAGAAAUAUAUUCUGGGGUUAAAAUUAAAUUAAGCUGUCGCWCGAUUAUUUUUAAGAAGUCCUCACUCGAAAGUUACCCCAAUAGACCAACUUGAAUUCASGACAAUUAGAACACAAACUGGGAUUAGAUACCCCACUAUGUCUAGUCGUAAACUUUAACUUACACCACAUCGCCAGGGGACUACGAGCAAAGCUUAAAACCCAAAGGACUUGACGGUACCCCAUAUCCUUCUAGAGGAGCCUGUCCUGUAAUCGAUAACCCCCGUUCAACCUCACCAUUUUUAGCCCAUCAGCCUGUAUACUUCCGUCGUCAGCUUACCGCAUGAGCGAACAGUAAACUCAAUGUCAACCAUCAAUACGUCAGGUCAAAGUGCAGCAUAUAAAAUGGCAAUAGAUGGGCUACACUUUCUWCCCUAGAAAAUACKAAAAAUUAUGUGRAACCAUAUUCAGAAGGCGGAUUUAGCAGUAARGGCGAACUARAAUGCCUCCCUUUAACUUGGCACUGGGGUGUGUACACACCGCCCGUCACCCUCUUC